CUGCAUUACAGAACCUCGCACCCUAACAGUCAGCAAAGCUAGACUUGCAAAGGGCACCAUGAUGGUCUGGAUCUCAAGAACAAUGACUCUGAUUUGGCAUUCUUGGAGUGAUGGUAGCGCCCACCAUGGGUCCUAUGCACAAGUGCUCAUCCACCUUAACAGGAAACGGAAGAACAUCUCUCCCAGAGUACUUUAUCUUGGUUAAUGUUACAACAGGAAGCACUUAUUCUGAGACAAGCUCCCCCACUAACGUUGACAGCAACAUUAUUUCAAGGACCUAUUGCCAAGAAGGAUUCCUAGGAAACUUGUUGUCCCUGCAAAUCCACAGAGGGGGAAAAGAAAUUCUGGCUUCCUUUCUCCAUUCCACUGUGGGGAAAAAAAAAAUAAGAAGAAUAAAAUCUGUCAUUGACCUUUCCUUGUCUUUCAUGUUACUUUAUUUCUCAAUACCAUUUCUGGGC
Long non-coding RNA from Alligator sinensis (Chinese alligator), 458 nucleotides. RefSeq lists it as uncharacterized. Lineage: Eukaryota; Metazoa; Chordata; Crocodylia; Alligatoridae. The record is from RefSeq and is a predicted model, not a curated record. The transcript has 3 exons.